ACUCCUACGGGAGGCAGCAGUCGAGAAUCUUCCGCAAUGGACGAAAGUCUGACGGAGCGACGCCGCGUGGUGGAUGAAGCCCUUAGGGGCGUAAACACCUUUUAUGAGUGAAGAAGUUUAUUGACAUUAGCUCAUGAAUAAGGGCUCCCAACUCUGUGCCAGCAGGAGCGGUAAUACAGAGGCCCCAAGCAUUAUCCGGAUUCACUGGGCGUAAAGGGUGCGUAGGCGGUGUGAUUAGUCAGGUGUUAAAUCCUUGGGCUCAACCUAAAGAAUCGCAUUUGAAACGGUCACACUAGAAGAAGUCAGAGGUAAAGCAGAACUCUCGGUGUAGGGGUGAAAAUCCGUUGAUAUCGAGGGGAAUACCAAAUGCGAAGGCAGCUUACUGGGGCUUUCUUGACGCUGAGGCACGAAAAGCGUGGGUAGCGAACGGGAUUAGAUACCCUGGUAGGCUCU
This 453-nucleotide ribosomal RNA is filed under the name uncultured bacterium. Its description in RNAcentral is "bacterial SSU rRNA". It matches the Rfam family "Bacterial small subunit ribosomal RNA", at positions 335 to 798 of the family's 1533-position model. The record is from RNAcentral.